UGUGGCAACGUGGUCAGCCGGGAGCCACUCUGCCGACCUAGGAUGGUGUAGAUCAUCCGGGUCGAAGAGUGGGACAUCCGAAGGAUCCACAAGGGUGGACCCCGCAUCCGCGGGGUUCCUGAUCCCUAUCUCGCCUCCGGGCAUCUCUGCCUGAGCAGAGGAAAGGAGGUCAAGACCAGCAUCAGCGGCAUCCGCAUCAGUAUCCGACUCGCUCUUAGCCUCCUCAUUUGACCUGAUUUCUGAGUCGGUGUCGCUCUCCAUCUGUGCUCUGGCACAUUUCCAUAGCCGCGCCCGUUCUGCCUGGCGCGGAAAGGCUCUCUUGCGUGGAUGGGACACGUUUCUGGGGCGACCGAAGGUAUGCUAGUCAUGGUGUUUCUGGAGGCAGA
Molecule: non-coding RNA, 386 nt
Organism: Pelobates cultripes (western spadefoot toad)
Lineage: Eukaryota; Metazoa; Chordata; Amphibia; Anura; Pelobatidae
Source: the annotation of a GenBank genome assembly